AAAUGAAUAGACGGGGGCCCGCACAAGCGGAGGAACAUGUGGUUUAAUUCGAUGAUACGCGAGGAACCUUACCCGGGCUUGAAAGUUAGCGACGGAUCAGGAAACUGGUCUUCCCUUCGGGGCGCGAAACUAGGUGCUGCAUGGUUGUCGUCAGCUCGUGCCGUGAGGUGUCGGGUUAAGUCCCAUAACGAGCGCAACCCCUACCGUUAGUUGCCAUCAGGUCAAGCUGGGCACUCUGGCGGAACUGCCACCGUAAGGUGAGAGGAAGGUGGGGAUGACGUCAAAUCAGCACGGCCCUUACGUCCGGGGCUACACACGUGUUACAAUGGUCGGUACAGAGGGCAGCUACCCAGUGAUGGGAUGCGAAUCUCGAAAGCCGAUCUCAGUUCGGAUUGGAGGCUGAAACCCGCCUCCAUGAAGUUGGAUUCGCUAGUAAUCGCGCAUCAGCCAUGGCGCGGUGAAUACGUUCCCGGGCCUUGUACACACCGCCCGU
This 493-nucleotide ribosomal RNA is filed under the name uncultured bacterium. RNAcentral describes it as "bacterial SSU rRNA". It matches the Rfam family "Bacterial small subunit ribosomal RNA", at positions 903 to 1397 of the family's 1533-position model. The record is from RNAcentral.